UGGGGAAUAUUGGACAAUGGGCGAAAGCCUGAUCCAGCCACGCCGCGUGAGUGAUGAAGGCCUUCGGGUCGUAAAGCUCUGUGGGGAGGGACGAACGAACGGUCGAAGAGACCGGAAUGACGGUACCUCCUUAGCAAGCACCGGCUAACUUCGUGCCAGCAGCCGCGGUAACACGGGGGGAGCAAGCGUUGUUCGGAUUCAUUGGGCGUAAAGAGCUCGUAGGCCGCUCUGUAAGUCGGAAGUGAAAGACCACGGCUCAACCGUGGAAACGCUUUCGAAACUGUGGAGCUUGAGGCCGGGAGAGGAGAUCGGAAUUCCUGGUGUAGCGGUGAAAUGCGUAGAUAUCAGGAGGAACAUCCGUGGCGAAGGCGGAUCUCUGGACCGGUUCUGACGCUGAGGAGCGAAAGCUAGGGGAGCAAACAGGAUUAGAUACCCACGUAGUCCCUGAGCGGGCUGGCAAGGCGCAU
Molecule: ribosomal RNA, 467 nt
Filed under: uncultured bacterium
Lineage: Bacteria
Description: bacterial SSU rRNA
Rfam family: Bacterial small subunit ribosomal RNA
Source: RNAcentral